GACAUGCCUUCCUCUUUAUUUCCACUGUAGCAGGCAAAGUGUUGCAGACCGUGGCCCAGGGCUGUGAAUCCAGUGUAGUCUGCAAUGCUCCGAAAACCCACUUGAACAUGGGGAACGGGAAAAUCCUUCAAGGAAAUUUGGUUUGUUGCACUGGGGAUGCUUGUAAAACAACCAUCCCUUCAUUACCAUCAAUAGAGACUAACGCCAAUGGAAAGCAUUGCCCUGCCUGCUUUUCUGAAACAGGUACAUGCAAGGAAGAAUUUACGAACUGUACCGGGGAUGAAAAUUACUGCUUCCAUCUCUUUAUGCGUUCCUAUGGAGAUGGGGUGCUCUGGGACACAAUCAUGGAAGGCUGCACCACCAAGUCAACAUGCCGUUACAUCAGUGACGGGGACUUGUUCAUCCUUCAACGUCGCAACACAGUGAUUAUAACAGCCUCAUGUUUGGUGGCGGCUUCGAAGAGGCUUUACUCUUGCCAAUUCCACCCCCUGUAUUUUGCUGGGUUCCUUUUUUUCCUCGGGACCUUUCUCUAAAAGUCAUUUGUUAUGGGGCUGCAUCAGCUCUGCCAUUGAAGCAGUUAUUAUCUAUUUAGGUUUCCUUUUCGCCCUUGUAGUGUCUCCCGAGGCAAUGAACUCCCCUCUUGGCAUUGGGUCUCUGUUUUCUUCUGUAAAAAAAAUAAAUGACAUGUUUAAGCAAAC
RNAcentral lists this long non-coding RNA (698 nucleotides) under Notechis scutatus (mainland tiger snake). RNAcentral describes it as "lncRNA (ENSNSUG00000004951.1)". Lineage: Eukaryota; Metazoa; Chordata; Lepidosauria; Squamata; Elapidae. The record is from RNAcentral.